Molecule: ribosomal RNA, 1422 nt
Filed under: Triticum aestivum (bread wheat)
Lineage: Eukaryota; Viridiplantae; Streptophyta; Magnoliopsida; Poales; Poaceae
Description: partial small subunit ribosomal RNA
Source: RNAcentral
AUGUGGACGGGCUCCCCGUACUCCUUCGCCGUCCUCGAACGCCUCCUCCAAGAUCACUUCUCCGCCCCUCGCCGCCUCCUCCAGGUCCAUGCCCUCCUCCUCACCUCCGGCGCGCUCUCCACCUCCCACGCUGCCGCCACCUUCCCCUACAACUGCCUCAUCCAUGCCCACCUCCGCCUCCCCGCUUCCACCGUUACCCCGCUAUGCGGCCCCCUCCGCCUCUUCUCGACCAUGCUCGCCGCCGGCGCGCGCCCCAACGGCCACACGUUCCCUUCCCUCCUCAGGUCCGCCUCCGCCUCCGGACCAGCCACCAGGGCCCUCCACGCGCAGUGCCUCCGCCGCGGGCUUACGGCCGACCGCUUCGUUGCAUGCUCGCUCGUCAGCUCCUAUGGCCGAGCUGGCCGUCUCGCGCAUGACGCUUCUAAGGUGUUUGACGAAAUGGCCAGCCCGGAUCUCGCCUCCUCUAACGCCAUGCUUGAUGUGCUGUGUCUCGCUGGGGACGUGGCUGCGGCUAGAGUGUUCUUUGAGCGGAUGGUGGUGAGGGAUGUGGUAUCAUGGACGACGCUCAUCUCUGGGUUAUCGAGGAAUGGGUGCCACUGGGAUGCUGUCGAGAUCUUCAGGGGAUUUUUGGUGGACAACAGGGGACUGCUCGGUGAGGCCACGUUGGUCAGCGUGCUCUCGGCUUGUGCAAACUUGGAUGGUGCUGAGGGGCUUGUGGUCGGGACGGCUGUUCACGCUUAUGUCGUUCGCCAUGAGGUUGACCUCACAGCGUUCUUGGGCACGGCGUUGAUCGACAUGUAUGGGAAGUAUGGGAAGCUUGACUGUUGUAGGAGAGCUUUUCAUGCUGUAUCUGAGAAGGAGGUCUGUACGUGGAAUGCGCUGCUGUCUGCACUGGCUAAUCAUGGGAAAGAGACUGAAGCACUGGUUAAGCUCAACAUGAUGAUAGUUGGAGGGUUCUUGCCAAAUCAGAUUACAUUUCUUGCUCUACUGACAGGUUGUGCUCGAGCAGGAUUGGUGGAGAUUGGGUUAUACUGGUUCGAGACGAUGGUGACUGAAUACAAGGUGACUCCGAUGAUGGCCCAUUUUGGAUGUGUUGUGGACCUGUUAGGCCGUGCUGGCCGUUUCAUGGAGGCCAUUGAGAGGAUAGAGCGGAUGCCCUUUUUGCCUGAUGCUUCUGUGUGGGGCGCGCUUCUUGGUGCUUGCAAGCUCCAUGGAAAUGUGGAGCUUGUUGCUGAGAUUGGGCGAAAUCUAGUGGCUCUUGGUCCUCAGCAAUCCGACCGGUAUGUGACUAUCAGGAAUAUUUAUCUAGAAAAUGGGAAUUGGUGUGCUGCGACGAGAAUGGGUGAGGUGAUGCAUGACGCCGGGAUCAAGAAGACAGCAGGACAAAGUAGUGUUGUGUUUGACAGCUCUGCCAUUACUUGA